GUGCUCGCUUUGGCAGCACAUAUACUAAAACUGGAACAAUACAGAGAAGAUUAGCAUCGCCCUUGCGCAAGGAUGACACGCAAAUUCGCAAAGCGUUCCAUAUUUUU
Small nuclear RNA from Balaenoptera musculus (blue whale), 107 nucleotides. The record is from Ensembl. NCBI's taxonomy places the organism in Eukaryota, Metazoa, Chordata, Mammalia, Artiodactyla, Balaenopteridae.